This 410-nucleotide ribosomal RNA is filed under the name uncultured bacterium. RNAcentral describes it as "bacterial SSU rRNA". It matches the Rfam family "Bacterial small subunit ribosomal RNA", at positions 387 to 789 of the family's 1533-position model. The record is from RNAcentral.
UCCAGCCAUGCCGCGUGAGUGAAGAAGGCCUUCGGGUUGUAAAGCUCUUUCAGACGGAAAGAAAUCGGUGUGUUUAAUACAUGCACUGGAUGACGGUACCGUAAGAAGAAGCACCGGCUAACUACGUGCCAGCAGCCGCGGUAAUACGUAGGGUGCGAGCGUUAAUCGGAAUUACUGGGCGUAAAGCGUGCGCAGGCGGUUAUGUAAGACAGAUGUGAAAUCCCCGGGCUCAACCUGGGAGCUGCGUUUGUGACUGCAUAACUAGAGUACGGCAGAGGGAGGUGGAAUUCCACGUGUAGCAGUGAAAUGCGUAGAGAUGUGGAGGAACACCGAUGGCGAAGGCAGCCUCCUGGGCCAGUACUGACGCUCAUGCACGAAAGCGUGGGGAGCAAACAGGAUUAGAUACCCUG